AGAAUGAACGCUAGCGAUAUGCUUAACACAUGCAAGUUGAACGUUGUUUUCGAGUCAAAAUGAAAACAAAGUGGCGAACGGGUGCGUAACACGUGGGAAUCUGCCAAACAGUUUGGGCCAAAUCCUGAAUGAAUGAAAGCUAAAAAGCGCUGUUUGAUGAGCCCACGUAGUAUUAGGUAGUUGGUUAGGUAAAAGCUGACCAAGCCUACGAUGCUUAGCUGGUCUUUUCGGAUGAUCAGCCACACUGGGACUGAGACACGGCCCAGACUCCUACGGGAGGCAGCAGUGGGGAAUCUUGGACAAUGGGCGAAAGCCUGAUCCGGCAAUAUGGCGUGAGUGAAGAAGGCUUUCGGGUUGUAAACCCCUUUCAGUUGGGACGAAGCUUCUUCGGUGAAUAGCCGAACGGAGUGACGGUACCUUCACAAGAAGCACCGGCUAACUACGUGCCAGCAGGCCGC
RNAcentral lists this ribosomal RNA (458 nucleotides) under uncultured bacterium. Its description in RNAcentral is "SSU rRNA". It matches the Rfam family "Bacterial small subunit ribosomal RNA", at positions 26 to 518 of the family's 1533-position model. The record is from RNAcentral.